RNAcentral lists this unclassified non-coding RNA (270 nucleotides) under soil metagenome. Its description in RNAcentral is "partial contains small subunit ribosomal RNA, internal transcribed spacer 1, and 5.8S ribosomal RNA". The record is from RNAcentral.
UUUCCGUAGGUGAACCUGCGGAAGGAUCAUUAACACGUGUAUCCACGUAUAAACCUUUGUGCACUCGUUCUGUUCUGGGGGCGCUUCUCGGUCCUCUGAAAGGAGGUCCAGUUGUGUCCCGUCACUGUGGUCUCCUUUUCGGAGGGGUGCCUGGCGACAAAACUUUAACGUCUUUAACAAAUUGUACUAAACUAUUGUGUACGGUGAAAGCCGUGUCACAUUUCUAUCUAAACAAUAGAACAACUCUUAGCAACGGAUAUCUUGGUUCUC